AACGGGUUCUAGUAGAUCUUUUUUUUUGAUGUUGAAAGUCAAAUUAUUAAUUUUAGUUUACUAGUUUAUCAGCUAUGGUCUUCUGAUGUUUAGUGUAACGUGGACGGAGUUGAAUACAUGUUCAAUUUUACCUCGUUUACAAUGACAUAAUCUAUACUCUGUAUAUGGUUUGUAUGUGGCUAUAAAAAUAAUUAUAUACAAUUUUGUUUUUACAGGCAAAAUGUUUUGAAUCCUAUUGUGGAGGUACGGUUCCCUUUGCAUACAUAUUAGUAAAAAAAUCAGAUGAAACUAAAUUUUUCACUCAUUAUGAUUCAUUGAAUUAUCAAAAUCCACUACCUGGAACAAUUGUUGAUUCUGAUAUCACUGACCCAAACAUAUUCGACUUCUUCUUGAUUUCACACACAGUCAAGUCUGGAUCAGUGUCUCCGACUUACUAUUGUAUACUGUUUAAUUCUAUUCCUCAGUUUUUGGUAGAUGAACUACACAUGAUUACUUACUUCUUAACUCACAUGUACUACAAAAGUCCGCAUACCAUACAAGUUCCUGCACCGUGUCAAUUGGCAUACGAUUUAGCAUAUUUUAGUGCAAAUACACUUAAGAGUACUGACAAAAUAUUGUUACACGGCUAUCCAUUCUUUUUUUAAAUUAUUAUGUUUUU
Acyrthosiphon pisum (pea aphid) is the source of this 658-nucleotide long non-coding RNA. RefSeq lists it as uncharacterized. The record is from RefSeq and is a predicted model, not a curated record. NCBI's taxonomy places the organism in Eukaryota, Metazoa, Arthropoda, Insecta, Hemiptera, Aphididae. The transcript is spliced from 3 exons.